GUUAUCUCUAAACUACGUUUACUUUUUAUGUUGAACCUCUUUUCCACAGUUUUUUCACUUAGUUCCACGACUGCAGUGAAUUUUAUAGUUAAUGUUAAAAUCCAACACAGAGUCUGAAGCGAUGGAGGAAAUUUACGUCAAUAUGGAACCUGUUGGACAAACUGCAUCUAAUCACACAGGUUGGAGCAGCUCCAAAGAGAGACUCGGCCUCGGUGUGGUCGUAUGCUUGGGAAUCCUGAAUGUUUUAAUUCUGGCUGAACUCAUAGGCCUCAGUGUACACACUCAUAACAUGACAGCAGAUUUUUCUGACAUCGGCAACAUGCUGACUGAACAGAACAGCAAG
Molecule: long non-coding RNA, 343 nt
Organism: Gambusia affinis (western mosquitofish)
Lineage: Eukaryota; Metazoa; Chordata; Actinopteri; Cyprinodontiformes; Poeciliidae
Exons: 3
Source: RefSeq, a predicted model, not a curated record